This 343-nucleotide unclassified non-coding RNA is filed under the name soil metagenome. RNAcentral's name for it is "partial contains 5.8S ribosomal RNA, internal transcribed spacer 2, and large subunit ribosomal RNA". The stretch from base 1 to 120 matches the Rfam family "5.8S ribosomal RNA", at positions 35 to 154 of the family's 154-position model. The record is from RNAcentral.
GAUGAAGAACGCAGCGAAAUGCGAUAAGUAAUGUGAAUUGCAGAAUCCAGUGAAUCAUCGAAUCUUUGAACGCACAUUGCGCCCGCCAGCAGUCUGGCGGGCAUGCCUGUUCGAGCGUCAUUUCAACCCUCGACCUCCCUUUGGGGAAGUCGGCGUUGGGGACCGGCAGCACACCGCCGGCCCUGAAAUGGAGUGGCGGCCCGUCCGCGGCGACCUCUGCGUAGUAAACCAACUCGCACCGGAACCCCGACGUGGCCACGCCGUAAAACACCCAACUUCUGAACGUUGACCUCGAAUCAGGUAGGACUACCCGCUGAACUUAAGCAUAUCAAUAAGCGGAGGA